UCCCUGGUAGCUCAGAGGUUAAAGCAUCUGCCUGCAAUGUAGGAGACCUGGGUUCGAUCUCUGGGUGGGGAA
RNAcentral lists this transfer RNA (72 nucleotides) under Ovis aries (sheep). It matches the Rfam family "tRNA". Rfam says of the family: Transfer RNA (tRNA) molecules are approximately 80 nucleotides in length. Their secondary structure includes four short double-helical elements and three loops (D, anti-codon, and T loops). Further hydrogen bonds mediate the characteristic L-shaped molecular structure. tRNAs have two regions of fundamental functional importance: the anti-codon, which is responsible for specific mRNA codon recognition, and the 3' end, to which the tRNAs corresponding amino acid is attached (by aminoacyl-tRNA synthetases). tRNAs cope with the degeneracy of the genetic code in two manners: having more than one tRNA (with a specific anti-codon) for a particular amino acid; and 'wobble' base-pairing, i.e. permitting non-standard base-pairing at the 3rd anti-codon position. The record is from Rfam by way of RNAcentral. Lineage: Eukaryota; Metazoa; Chordata; Mammalia; Artiodactyla; Bovidae.